This 499-nucleotide ribosomal RNA is filed under the name uncultured bacterium. Its description in RNAcentral is "bacterial SSU rRNA". It matches the Rfam family "Bacterial small subunit ribosomal RNA", at positions 899 to 1397 of the family's 1533-position model. The record is from RNAcentral.
ACUCAAAUGAAUAGACGGGGGCCCGCACAAGCGGUGGAGCAUGUGGUUCAAUUCGACGCAACGCGCAGAACCUUACCCGGUCUUGACAUCCUGGGAACUUCUCAGAGAUGAGUUGGUGCCCGCAAGGGAACCCAGAGACAGGUGCUGCAUGGCUGUCGUCAGCUCGUGUCGUGAGAUGUUAGGUUAAGUCCUGCAACGAGCGCAACCCCUGCCCUUAGUUGCCAUCAUUAAGUUGGGCACUCUAAGGGGACUGCCGGUGUUAAACCGGAGGAAGGUGGGGAUGACGUCAAGUCCUCAUGGCCUUUAUGACCGGGGCUACACACGUGCUACAAUGGCCGGUACAAAGCGUCGCAAACCCGCGAGGGGGAGCCAAUCGCAAAAAACCGGUCUCAGUUCGGAUUGGACUCUGCAACUCGAGUCCAUGAAGUCGGAAUCGCUAGUAAUCGAAGAUCAGCACGCUUCGGUGAAUACGUUCCCGGGCCUUGUACACACCGCCCGU